GCGCGGUUAGCUCAGCUGGAUAGAGCGUCGGCCUCCGGAGCCGAAGGCCAUGGGUUCGAAUCCCGUACCGCGUA
Molecule: transfer RNA, 74 nt
Filed under: Deltaproteobacteria bacterium
Lineage: Bacteria; Pseudomonadati; Myxococcota; Myxococcia
Also listed under: 1 other name
Description: tRNA-Arg
Rfam family: tRNA
About the family: Transfer RNA (tRNA) molecules are approximately 80 nucleotides in length. Their secondary structure includes four short double-helical elements and three loops (D, anti-codon, and T loops). Further hydrogen bonds mediate the characteristic L-shaped molecular structure. tRNAs have two regions of fundamental functional importance: the anti-codon, which is responsible for specific mRNA codon recognition, and the 3' end, to which the tRNAs corresponding amino acid is attached (by aminoacyl-tRNA synthetases). tRNAs cope with the degeneracy of the genetic code in two manners: having more than one tRNA (with a specific anti-codon) for a particular amino acid; and 'wobble' base-pairing, i.e. permitting non-standard base-pairing at the 3rd anti-codon position.
Source: RNAcentral